GAUGAACGCUAGCUACAGGCUUAACACAUGCAAGUCGAGGGGAAACGACAUCGAAAGCUUGCUUUUGAUGGGCGUCGACCGGCGCACGGGUGAGUAACGCGUAUCCAACCUGCCCACCACUUGGGGAUAACCUUGCGAAAGUAAGACUAAUACCCAAUGAUAUCCCACGAAGGCAUCCGAAUGGGAUUAAAGAUUUAUCGGUGAUGGAUGGGGAUGCGUCUGAUUAGCUUGUUGGCGGGGUAACGGCCCACCAAGGCAACGAUCAGUAGGGGUUCUGAGAGGAAGGUCCCCCACAUUGGAACUGAGACACGGUCCAAACUCCUACGGGAGGCAGCAGUGAGGAAUAUUGGUCAAUGGGCGAGAGCCUGAACCAGCCAAGUAGCGUGCAGGAUGACGGCCCUAUGGGUUGUAAACUGCUUUUAUAAGGGAAUAAAGUGGGUCACGUGUGACUUUUUGCAUGUACCUUAUGAAUAAGGACCGGCUAAUUCCGUG
This 492-nucleotide ribosomal RNA is filed under the name uncultured bacterium. RNAcentral's name for it is "bacterial SSU rRNA". It matches the Rfam family "Bacterial small subunit ribosomal RNA", at positions 28 to 507 of the family's 1533-position model. The record is from RNAcentral.